UACACUCCUACGGGAGGCAGCAGUGGGGAAUUUUGGACAAUGGGCGAAAGCCUGAUCCAGCAAUGCCGCGUGAGUGAAGAAGGCCUUCGGGUUGUAAAGCUCUUUUGUCAGGGAAGAAACGGUGAGAGCUAAUAUCUUUUGCUAAUGACGGUACCUGAAGAAUAAGCACCGGCUAACUACGUGCCAGCAGCCGCGGUAAUACGUAGGGUGCAAGCGUUAAUCGGAAUUACUGGGCGUAAAGCGUGCGCAGGCGGUUUUGUAAGUCUGAUGUGAAAUCCCCGGGCUCAACCUGGGAAUUGCAUUGGAGACUGCAAGGCUAGAAUCUGGCAGAGGGGGGUAGAAUUCCACGUGUAGCAGUGAAAUGCGUAGAUAUGUGGAGGAACACCGAUGGCGAAGGCAGCCCCCUGGGUCAAGAUUGACGCUCAUGCACGAAAGCGUGGGGAGCAAACAGGAUUAGAUACCCCAGUAGUCCCAUGA
RNAcentral lists this ribosomal RNA (477 nucleotides) under uncultured organism. RNAcentral describes it as "partial 16S ribosomal RNA". It matches the Rfam family "Bacterial small subunit ribosomal RNA", at positions 332 to 800 of the family's 1533-position model. The record is from RNAcentral.